This is a long non-coding RNA of Oxyura jamaicensis (ruddy duck), 417 nucleotides long. RefSeq lists it as uncharacterized. The transcript has 4 exons. Lineage: Eukaryota; Metazoa; Chordata; Aves; Anseriformes; Anatidae. The record is from RefSeq and is a predicted model, not a curated record.
UCAGCAUGAAUAGUUCCUUCUCCUUGACCAUACAGCUUGAAGCUUUCCCAGAUUUGUUCCUGGGCUCCUUCUGGAGGAGAGGUGAGCAGAGCCAUGCACUCCACCAGCCCUGCUGCUGUUCGCUAGAGCCACCUUCACAGUGAUACUGCUUCUAGAGAGGUCUGCUGGCAUUGGCUAGCCACCAACUUUUCCACAUCCCUCUACUGCAAAUGAGGUCAAGUCCCUUCAUAUGUGUUGUUGAGAAACUGGAAUCCUUUGAAGACUGUCCUGUCCAAUGCAGUGAAAAACAGAAGUCUGUAGGCCAAGGGAGCUCACAACUUUUCAGUCUAUGCCUUAUGAGGGAGAACAAGUGCUGUUAAAUAAUGACUGUCAUUGUGACUUUGGAUCAUAUCAUGACUUUCCCUGUUCCUUGCCAGG